Molecule: ribosomal RNA, 433 nt
Filed under: uncultured bacterium
Lineage: Bacteria
Description: partial 16S ribosomal RNA
Rfam family: Bacterial small subunit ribosomal RNA
Source: RNAcentral
AACGAACGCUGGCGGCAUGCCUAACACAUGCAAGUCGAACGAGACCUUCGGGUCUAGUGGCGCACGGGUGCGUAACGCGUGGGAACCUGCCCUUAGGUUCGGAAUAACUCCCCGAAAGGGGUGCUAAUACCGGAUAAUGUCUUCGGACCAAAGAUUUAUCGCCUUUGGAUGGGCCCGCGUUGGAUUAGCUAGUUGGUAGGGUAAAAGCCUACCAAGGCGACGAUCCAUAGCUGGUCUGAGAGGAUGAUCAGCCACACUGGGACUGAGACACGGCCCAGACUCCUACGGGAGGCGGCAAUGGGGAAUAUAGGACAAUGGGCGGAAGGAUGAACCAGCAAUGCUGCGUGAGUGAUGAAGGCCUUAGAGAUGUAAAGCUCUUUUACCCGGGAUGAUAAUGACGGUACCGAGAGAAUAAGCACCGGCUAACUCCGUG